UGCUACAGCCAUGCCACCCUGAACAAGCCCGAUCUCAUCUGAUCUCGAAAGCUAAGCAGGGUCGGGUCUGAUUAGUACUUGGAUAGGAGACCACCUAGGAAGACCAGGUGCUGUAGGCG
This is a non-coding RNA of Pteropus alecto (black flying fox), 119 nucleotides long. The record is from Rfam. NCBI's taxonomy places the organism in Eukaryota, Metazoa, Chordata, Mammalia, Chiroptera, Pteropodidae.